GCUUUAAUAAUUUAAAUUUAAAAUAUUGGUCUUGUAAACCAAACCUGUGAAAUACUCAUUUAAAGCU
RNAcentral lists this transfer RNA (67 nucleotides) under Phytosciara flavipes. RNAcentral describes it as "tRNA-Thr". It matches the Rfam family "tRNA". From Rfam's summary of the family: Transfer RNA (tRNA) molecules are approximately 80 nucleotides in length. Their secondary structure includes four short double-helical elements and three loops (D, anti-codon, and T loops). Lineage: Eukaryota; Metazoa; Arthropoda; Insecta; Diptera; Sciaridae. The record is from RNAcentral.